Zea mays is the source of this 143-nucleotide long non-coding RNA. RefSeq lists it as uncharacterized. The transcript is spliced from 3 exons. The record is from RefSeq and is a predicted model, not a curated record. Lineage: Eukaryota; Viridiplantae; Streptophyta; Magnoliopsida; Poales; Poaceae.
CUCUCCACUCGCACGCUAACCCUACACACUCCCGUUUACGGGCACACCUCCAAACCCUCAUCACGAUCCGGCUCCAAGGUCUCGAGAUGAAGUCGAGGGCGAGGUCCAGCGGUGGCGACUCCAGGCUCUCGGUGAGGAAGACU